GCGAACGCUGGCGGCAGGCCUCACCCAUGCAAGUCGCACGAACCUUUCGGGGUUAGUGGCGGACGGGUGAGUAACACGUGGGAACGUGCCUUUAGGUUCGGAAUAACUCAGGGAAACUUGUGCUAAUACCGAAUGUGCCCUUCGGGGGAAAGAUUAAUCGCCUUUAGAGCGGCCCGCGUCUGAUUAGCUAGUUGGUUGAGGUAAUGGCUCACCAAGGCGACGAUCAGUAGCUGGUCUGAGAGGAUGAUCAGCCACAUUGGGACUGAGACACGGCCCAAACUCCUACGGGAGGCAGCAGUGGGGAAUCUUGCGCAAUGGGCGAAAGCCUGACGCAGCCAUGCCGCGUGAAUGAUGAAGGUCUUAGGAUUGUAAAAUUCUUUCACCGGGGACGAUAAUGACGGUACCCGGAGAAGAAGCCCCGGCUAACUUCGUG
This 433-nucleotide ribosomal RNA is filed under the name uncultured bacterium. Its description in RNAcentral is "partial 16S ribosomal RNA". It matches the Rfam family "Bacterial small subunit ribosomal RNA", at positions 29 to 507 of the family's 1533-position model. The record is from RNAcentral.